AACGAACGCUGGCGGCAUGCCUAACACAUGCAAGUCGAACGAGAUCCUUCGGGGUCUAGUGGCGCACGGGUGCGUAACGCGUGGGAAUCUGCCCUUAGGUUCGGAAUAACAGUUAGAAAUGACUGCUAAUACCGGAUGAUGACGUUAAGUCCAAAGAUUUAUCGCCUGAGGAUGAGCCCGCGUAGGAUUAGCUAGUUGGUGUGGUAAAGGCGCACCAAGGCGACGAUCCGUAGCUGGUCUGUGAGGAUGAUCAGCCACACUGGGACUGAGACACGGCCCAGACUCCUACGGGAGGCGGCAGUGGGGAAUAUUGGACAAUGGGCUCAAUCCUGAUCCAGCAAUGCCGCGUGAGUGAUGAAGUCCUUAGAGUUGUAAAGCUCUUUUACCCGGGAUGAUAAUGACAGUACCGGGAGAAUAAGCCCCGGCUAACUCCGUG
This 436-nucleotide ribosomal RNA is filed under the name uncultured bacterium. RNAcentral describes it as "partial 16S ribosomal RNA". It matches the Rfam family "Bacterial small subunit ribosomal RNA", at positions 29 to 507 of the family's 1533-position model. The record is from RNAcentral.